This 1182-nucleotide ribosomal RNA is filed under the name uncultured Staphylococcus sp. Its description in RNAcentral is "bacterial SSU rRNA". It matches the Rfam family "Bacterial small subunit ribosomal RNA". Lineage: Bacteria; Bacillati; Bacillota; Bacilli; Caryophanales; Staphylococcaceae. The record is from RNAcentral.
GUUUGAUCCUGGCUCAGGAUGAACGCUGGCGGCGUGCCUAAUACAUGCAAGUCGAGCGAACAGAUAAGGAGCUUGCUCCUUUGACGUUAGCGGCGGACGGGUGAGUAACACGUGGAUAACCUACCUAUAAGACUGGGAUAACUUCGGGAAACCGGAGCUAAUACCGGAUAACAUAUUGAACCGCAUGGUUCAAUAGUGAAAGGCGGCUUUGCUGUCACUUAUAGAUGGAUCCGCGCCGUAUUAGCUAGUUGGUAAGGUAACGGCUUACCAAGGCAACGAUACGUAGCCGACCUGAGAGGGUGAUCGGCCACACUGGAACUGAGACACGGUCCAGACUCCUACGGGAGGCAGCAGUAGGGAAUCUUCCGCAAUGGGCGAAAGCCUGACGGAGCAACGCCGCGUGAGUGAUGAAGGUCUUCGGAUCGUAAAACUCUGUUAUCAGGAAAGAACAAAUGUGUAAGUAACUGUGCACAUCUUGACGGUACCUGAUCAGAAAGCCACGGCUAACUACGUGCCAGCAGCCGCGGUAAUACGUAGGUGGCAAGCGUUAUCCGGAAUUAUUGGGCGUAAAGCGCGCGUAGGCGGUUUUUUAAGCCUGAUGUGAAAGCCCACGGCUCAACCGUGGAGGGUCAUUGGAAACUGGAAAACUUGAGUGCAGAAGAGGAAAGUGGAAUUCCAUGUGUAGCGGUGAAAUGCGCAGAGAUAUGGAGGAACACCAGUGGCGAAGGCGACUUUCUGGUCUGUAACUGACGCUGAUGUGCGAAAGCGUGGGGAUNNAACAGGAUUAGAUACCCUGGUAGUCCACGCCGUAAACGAUGAGUGCUAAGUGUUAGGGGGUUUCCGCCCUUUAGUGCUGCAGCUAACGCAUUAAGCACUCCGCCUGGGGAGUACGACCGCAAGGUUGAAACUCAAAGGGCAGCUAAACCGCGAGGUCAAGCAAAUCCCAUAAAGUUGUUCUCAGUUCGGAUUGUAGUCUGCAACUCGACUACAUGAAGCUGGAAUCGCUAGUAAUCGUAGAUCAGCAUGCUACGGUGAAUACGUUCCCGGGUCUUGUACACACCGCCCGUCACACCACGAGAGUUCGUAACACCCGAAGCCGGUGGAGUAACCAUUUAUGGAGCUAGCCGUCGAAGGUGGGACAGAUGAUUGGGGUGAAGUCGUAACAAGGUAGCCGUAUCGGAA